RNAcentral lists this ribosomal RNA (1318 nucleotides) under Paenarthrobacter nicotinovorans. RNAcentral describes it as "bacterial SSU rRNA". It matches the Rfam family "Bacterial small subunit ribosomal RNA", at positions 114 to 1444 of the family's 1533-position model. The record is from RNAcentral. Lineage: Bacteria; Bacillati; Actinomycetota; Actinomycetes; Micrococcales; Micrococcaceae.
CACGUGAGUAACCUGCCCUUGACUCUGGGAUAAGCCUGGGAAACUGGGUCUAAUACCGGAUAUGACUCCUCAUCGCAUGGUGGGGGGUGGAAAGCUUUUGUGGUUUUGGAUGGACUCGCGGCCUAUCAGCUUGUUGGUGGGGUAAUGGCCUACCAAGGCGACGACGGGUAGCCGGCCUGAGAGGGUGACCGGCCACACUGGGACUGAGACACGGCCCAGACUCCUACGGGAGGCAGCAGUGGGGAAUAUUGCACAAUGGGCGCAAGCCUGAUGCAGCGACGCCGCGUGAGGGAUGACGGCCUUCGGGUUGUAAACCUCUUUCAGUAGGGAAGAAGCGUAAGUGACGGUACCUGCAGAAGAAGCGCCGGCUAACUACGUGCCAGCAGCCGCGGUAAUACGUAGGGCGCAAGCGUUAUCCGGAAUUAUUGGGCGUAAAGAGCUCGUAGGCGGUUUGUCGCGUCUGCUGUGAAAGACCGGGGCUCAACUCCGGUUCUGCAGUGGGUACGGGCAGACUAGAGUGCAGUAGGGGAGACUGGAAUUCCUGGUGUAGCGGUGAAAUGCGCAGAUAUCAGGAGGAACACCGAUGGCGAAGGCAGGUCUCUGGGCUGUAACUGACGCUGAGGAGCGAAAGCAUGGGGAGCGAACAGGAUUAGAUACCCUGGUAGUCCAUGCCGUAAACGUUGGGCACUAGGUGUGGGGGACAUUCCACGUUUUCCGCGCCGUAGCUAACGCAUUAAGUGCCCCGCCUGGGGAGUACGGCCGCAAGGCUAAAACUCAAAGGAAUUGACGGGGGCCCGCACAAGCGGCGGAGCAUGCGGAUUAAUUCGAUGCAACGCGAAGAACCUUACCAAGGCUUGACAUGAACCGGAAAGACCUGGAAACAGGUGCCCCGCUUGCGGUCGGUUUACAGGUGGUGCAUGGUUGUCGUCAGCUCGUGUCGUGAGAUGUUGGGUUAAGUCCCGCAACGAGCGCAACCCUCGUUCUAUGUUGCCAGCGGUUCGGCCGGGGACUCAUAGGAGACUGCCGGGGUCAACUCGGAGGAAGGUGGGGACGACGUCAAAUCAUCAUGCCCCUUAUGUCUUGGGCUUCACGCAUGCUACAAUGGCCGGUACAAAGGGUUGCGAUACUGUGAGGUGGAGCUAAUCCCAAAAAGCCGGUCUCAGUUCGGAUUGGGGUCUGCAACUCGACCCCAUGAAGUCGGAGUCGCUAGUAAUCGCAGAUCAGCAACGCUGCGGUGAAUACGUUCCCGGGCCUUGUACACACCGCCCGUCAAGUCACGAAAGUUGGUAACACCCGAAGCCGGUGGCCUAACCCUUGU